GAUGAACGCUGGCGGCGUGCCUAAUACAUGCAAGUCGAGCGAACGGACGAGAGGCUUGCUUCUCUGAUGUUAGCGGCGGACGGGUGAGUAACACGUGGCUAACCUACAUAUAAGACUGGGAUAACUUCGGGAAACCGGAGCUAAUACCGGAUAAUAUUUUGAACCGCAUGGUUCAAAAGUGAAAGACGGUCUUGCUGUCACUUAUAGAUGGAUCCGCGCUGCAUUAGCUAGUUGGUAAGGUAACGGCUUACCAAGGCAACGAUGCAUAGCCGACCUGAGAGGGGGAUCGGCCACACUGGAACUUAGACACGGACCCGACUCCUACGGGAGGCAGCAGUAGGGAAUCUUCCGCAAUGGGCGAAAGCCUGACGGAGCAACGCCGCGUGAGUGAUGAAGGUCUUCGGAUCGUAAAACUCUGUUUUUAGGGAAGAACAUAUGUGUAAGUAACUGUGCACAUCUUGACGGUACCUAAUCAGAAAGCCACGGCUAACUACGUG
Molecule: ribosomal RNA, 497 nt
Filed under: uncultured bacterium
Lineage: Bacteria
Description: partial 16S ribosomal RNA
Rfam family: Bacterial small subunit ribosomal RNA
Source: RNAcentral